This 90-nucleotide transfer RNA is filed under the name Streptomyces mirabilis. RNAcentral describes it as "tRNA-Asp". Lineage: Bacteria; Bacillati; Actinomycetota; Actinomycetes; Kitasatosporales; Streptomycetaceae. The record is from RNAcentral.
GCAGAACUCGGCGACGAGGUCGGCCUCCUGGCGGUCGGCGAGGCGGCGGGCGAGGACGUACGCCGUCCGUUCGACCCCGGCGGUCAGCGC